Molecule: ribosomal RNA, 301 nt
Filed under: uncultured bacterium
Lineage: Bacteria
Description: partial 16S ribosomal RNA
Rfam family: Bacterial small subunit ribosomal RNA
Source: RNAcentral
CAGCAGCCGCGGUAAUACGAAGGGGGCUAGCGUUGUUCGGAUUCACUGGGCGUAAAGCGCACGUAGGCGGAUCGAUCAGUCAGGGGUGAAAUCCCAGAGCUCAACUCUGGAACUGCCUUUGAUACUGUCGAUCUGGAGUAUGGAAGAGGUGAGUGGAAUUCCGAGUGUAGAGGUGAAAUUCGUAGAUAUUCGGAGGAACACCAGUGGCGAAGGCGGCUCACUGGUCCAUUACUGACGCUGAGGUGCGAAAGCGUGGGGAGCAAACAGGAUUAGAUACCCCGGUAGUCCCUGUCUCUUAUAC